CUUAUUAGUGCCCUUUCACUUCUACCAGCAAUCCCACCCUCUUGAACUGUUUGUAGCAUAGUUUAGUACAGAGGUCUCCCAUGAAAAUGCCUACACAAGACCAGGCAGAUGAUAUAAAUAUGUUUUGUGGGCCGGGUGGGGCCUGUGGUGAACUGGAGAGGAAAUGCUGCAUUUGGGAGGAGGAGGGGCAGUCACUGAGCUCCACGUGAGCCUUGCCAUUUGGAAAUGUGGCCCAGUGUUGCCAGAUCUUUAAAUUUUUCAAGGGAAGCUGAAAAUUUGGAUGUUUUUGUGAAAUCUCCAAUUUUUAAGUGUAGGAUGCUUAUUCAAAAAAUUGUAUAAAACACUGUGGGGUAAAUAAAAACAAAGAACUCCAUACCCAAACCUAGGUCUGUGGGCUGGCUAAGAUUGCAACCUCGAGGACAGUGGAAAGCACUUUGGAUCAAGGGGCAGGAGACCUAGAUUCUCCUGAUUCUACCACAAACCAGCAGCAUGACUUUGGCAGGUCAUUUUACUUACUUGUGCCUUACUUUCUUCAUCUGAAAAUCACAGGGGUGAAGCCAGAUGAUCUCCUUGGUGCUUUUUAGCUCUAAAAUGCAUUCCCUUGACAAUUUAGAAUGGUCCUCCCUCCCAACCAAUUUUCACAAAAUUACAAAAAGCAUUAGGGAUACCUACAGGGGGCAAUAGAUGUUUUAUUGACUGUGUUGGCUAAAGGGGUCUCUUCUACUUCUAGUAGCCUUGAGCAUUUUUCUUUUUUUCUUUUUUUAAUUUUUUUGAGACAGGGUCUCGCUCUGUCACCCAGGCUGGAGGGCAGUGUUGCUAUCACAGUUCACUACAGCCUCCAUCUUCUGGGCUCAAGCGAUCAUCCUACCUCAGCCUCUUAAGUAGCUUGGACCAUAGGCACACACUACCACGCCUGGCUAUUUUCUUUCUUUUUUGGGGGGGCCGGUAGAGAUGGGGGGGACUCCCUAUGUUGCCCAGGCUAGUCUUGAACUCCCAGUCUCAAGUGAUCCUCCUGCCUUGGCCUACCAAGGUGCUGGGAUUACAGGUGUGAGCCACUGUGCCCAGCCUCCUUGAGCAUUUUUCUAUCACCUCCUCCCACUUCUUGCCUAUCUACUCUCCCUCCGUACCAUGUUUUUGAGAUCAUUCCACAUGCUCUGGAACUCCAGCUUGCUUUCAUACUCAGAAUCUAUAUAGUUCUGCUCCAUGGCCAUGAAGAUAUCUUGCAGAUAGUGAAUCUCUUUCUCAUGUUGGUCAAUAAUUGUCUUCCUGUAGGAGACAAGACACUGUCCCUGCUCUGAGGGAUACAGGAUAUUGACCAAUAAUGACAAUUCAAAGCAGUAUGUAAUCUAUGUGAAUGGUACAAACUCUUAGGUACUGAUGGAGAAAAGAGAGAGGGAAGGCUUUACUCUUUUUAGGGCUAGAAAGAAUGAGUAAGGUUAUUUUAUUUUGAUUUCUGAAUGGGUAAUACAUUCAUGUGAUACAAAAAAAGUACAAAAGGUUACAGUGAGAAGUCUCUCUCCCAUCCCUGUUCCCUGCCAAAUGGGUAGGAUUUUGAUAGUUGAAAGUGGGUAGUUGGUCCCUCUCCCUCUCCCUCUCCCUCUCCCCAUGGUCUCCCUCUCCCCAUGGUCUCCCUCUCCCUCUCUUUCCACGGUCUCCCUCUCAUGCCGAGCCGAAGCUGGACUAUACUGCUGCCAUCUCGGCUCACUGCAACCUCCCUGCCUGAUUCUCCUGCCUCAGCCUGCCGAGUGCCUGCGAUUGCAGGCGCGCGCCUCCACGCCUGACUGGUUUUCGUAUUUUUUUGGUGGAGACGGG
RNAcentral lists this long non-coding RNA (1812 nucleotides) under Homo sapiens (human). RNAcentral's name for it is "HSALNT0188642". Lineage: Eukaryota; Metazoa; Chordata; Mammalia; Primates; Hominidae. The record is from RNAcentral.